This 253-nucleotide ribosomal RNA is filed under the name uncultured bacterium. RNAcentral's name for it is "partial 16S ribosomal RNA". It matches the Rfam family "Bacterial small subunit ribosomal RNA", at positions 524 to 776 of the family's 1533-position model. The record is from RNAcentral.
GACGGAGGAUGCAAGUGUUAUCCGGAAUCACUGGGCGUAAAGCGUCUGUAGGUGGUUUAAAAAGUCUACUGUUAAAAAUUGAAGCUUAACUUCAAAGAUGCCGUAGAAACUUUUAAACUUGAGGAUGGUAGGGGUAGAGGGAAUUUCCAGUGGAGCGGUGAAAUGCGUAGAUCUUGGAAAGACCACCAAUGGCGAAGGCACUCAACUGGGCCAUGACUGACACUAAGAGACGAAAGCUAGGGGAGCAAAUGGG